GACGAACGCUGGCGGCGUGCUUAACACAUGCAAGUCGAACGGAAAGGCCCUGCUUUUGUGGGGUGCUCGAGUGGCGAACGGGUGAGUAACACGUGAGUAACCUGCCCUUGACUUUGGGAUAACUUCAGGAAACUGGGGCUAAUACCGGAUAGGAGCUCCUGCUGCAUGGUGGGGGUUGGAAAGUUUCGGCGGUUGGGGAUGGACUCGCGGCUUAUCAGCUUGUUGGUGGGGUAGUGGCUUACCAAGGCUUUGACGGGUAGCCGGCCUGAGAGGGGGACCGGCCACAUGGGGACUGAGAGAGGCCGCAGACUCCAACGGGAGGCAGCAGUGGGGAACAUUGCACAAUGGGCGGGCGCGUGAUGCAGCAACGCCGCGUGCGGGAUGACGGCCUUCGGGUUGUAAACCGCUUUGGCCUGUGACGAAGCCUGAGUGACGGUAAUGGGUAAAGAAGCACCGGCUAACUACGUG
Molecule: ribosomal RNA, 468 nt
Filed under: uncultured bacterium
Lineage: Bacteria
Description: partial 16S ribosomal RNA
Rfam family: Bacterial small subunit ribosomal RNA
Source: RNAcentral